Molecule: non-coding RNA, 366 nt
Organism: Prunus avium (sweet cherry)
Lineage: Eukaryota; Viridiplantae; Streptophyta; Magnoliopsida; Rosales; Rosaceae
Source: RefSeq, a predicted model, not a curated record
GUUAUAUCAAGGAUUUUCAAGUUUUUGAUCCACAUAGAGUGGGGAAGAUAACAGUUCAACUACAAGGCAGGGUUAAUGAUUGUAGAGCUCUUACUUACAGACAGGAUGUCAAGGCAAGGGAUAUUGAAGAGUACAAAAUGCAAAAGCUUCCAACCCGCCAGUGGGGUUAUGUUGUGAUUACUACUCCCGAAGGGGUGCUGGAUCACGAAGAGGCUGUUAAACGUAAUGUGGGGGGGCAGGUUCUUGGCUAUUUUCAUUAACAUCUUGUGGAUGGGAAGAGAGAAUUGUUCUCCUAUAUGAUGACAUCCUGACUUCCCCAAUUAGAAUUUGUUGUUUUGUUUACCACAAAAUCAACUUAUGUGAAUC